GCUAUAUAAAACAACUCAGAGGCCCUGAGAAUGAUCCCUCCAAAAUUCAGGCGAGAUUGUUAAGUACAACAUGUGUAAUUAAACUUUUCACAGGGAGGAAGUAGUUGGAGUACUGCUUGGCAGCUUGGGUGCUUUUGGCUAGCAGAGUUGAAGUGGCUGUUCUAAGCACAGCUCUGCCUGAAUGAGAGGGCCAGUGGCCAAUAUUCCUGCUCUGCCUUUAGCCAGACAUUCACACCUGGCUUACUAGUCAGACUUGGAGAAACCUUGACUUAUAACAACAUUGUCUCUUCCUAGCCAAGAUUCAUUAAGUCUGAGGACACGGAGGAUAGCAGUUCAGAUUCCUGCAGGAGUAACCAGCAUAAUCAUUGAGUGCACUAUAUACAACAUGAAAGCAGGAUAUUAACAUGUUAGGUAAAAAACACGGGCCUCUGAGGCAUCAACAAUCAGGUUAGGAGGAGGUGUGCUAUAUGGCUCUUUUAACCCAAGAAGAGGCAGCUUAUGGUGAUGAAGAAAGGUGGCCAAGAAGAAAUGGAUGAUAUGAUGAUGGUGGAGGCCCGGGGGUCACAGGUGACGAACCUGCUACCCAACAGUUGCUUUUAAAUCCUUGAGUUGAUGUCUCUUUUAACAUUCACUGCAACUACCUAGGAACUAUAAAGAAUUUCUGAAAUUUAGGAAGUAGAAUAAGGAGAUCCAGUUGUGCUUUUCCAUCUUUAAAUGUUCUAGGAAAAAAAAAAAAAUUGGCAAAAUGGUUGAGGAAUUGAAUGUCAGAUUGGGUGCUGGUCUCUGACCCCCCUCUUCUUCCCCAUAAGGAUAAUAGAAGCUGCACACCUGCUCAGCCUCUCUUGGGCAUCUCCUUUUCUCAUUAGUACCAUAAGGAAAGGCAUUUCCUUAAAUGAAAAAGUCACAUGCUGCUGGUAGAGAAACUGGGAAGAAACAAAGGAAGCAAUAAACUCUUCGGUAGUAUUGGAAACCUCCAGCAAGAUGAAGAAGUCAUUCGUCUGGUCCUUCCAGACUGGAUGUGGAAGACCAUGACCGGAUGUAGCAAAAGAGAUAAGUAUGCGUAUUUUGGGUAAAGAUUUGCUUGUUGGACUGCUAUCUCUAGAGGAUACCACCUGUAUGGUAGGAUUAUCAUUUCACUUCCAUUCUUGCUUUAUUGAAUAUUGUAUUUUCUCAUUUCAACUUUCUUGUCUGGUGUCAUUGAUGCAGGUCACCACAGAUAGCAGCAUAGCAGAUAGCACCCAGCCAGCCUACAAAGGUGAAUUAGCAAUGCAGACCUACAGGCUCUUCCUCAGUAACCAGACUGUGAUGUUACCUUGGGAACCUCUUCAUUCCCUGACAUUCUAGAUUGGUCUCUUUGGUAGUACUGCCCCCCUCCCCAAACAAAGAUGAAACCAGUUUGGGGCUUUCUGAGUCAAGGGGAAGGAAGAAGUCCAAAACAACAACAACAAAAAUACAGCUUCCCUCCCCCUAAAAUGUCUGAUGCAAGUAUCAACUACCCAAUUUUAUAAAUUAGUUUAAAUUCUCUAAAAAUUGCUAACAAGAACUCUUCAUUAAAUUUGAGCUUCAUUUUUCUUUGAUUCUGACUGUCCUAAUCAGAAAAAAAAAAAAUGACCAAAAGGUGGAAGGGAAAGAAAAAGCAUCAGCAGACUUGGCAAUCCACACAUUAAUUCCUGUAUCCCAGAAAAAGGAAAUAUUGUGAAACCCAGUGUUGUAGAAGCCUUGUACACUAAGAAUUUGAACAGCUGUAAAGGCUGAUGCAUGUAGACAAAGUAAGGACUGUCUACUGCCCACUUGAGACUUCAGCCUAAACCAGAUGUUUUUUAGAGUGUGGAUUCAAGAGAGUCAAGAGAGUCAAGUGUUUCUCUGAACCGUUUAUUUUUGGAAAAGGCCCAUACAAAGAGAAGUGGUGUGAUAUAGUAGAAGUGCUACACCAUGAAAGUGUCCUUUCUCUCUUUCUCUCAUAAGAGCAGUUUAUAAAUGUAUGGAACAUCCAAAAAACCAUAAAUACCACAUUUCAUGUUACGCUUUUACCCUAAGAACACAACUGAAGAGAGUGGAUUGAAUAUAGAAAUGAACUUUCAUUCACGUCAACUACUUUGUUAUCCUAAAGAAACCUGCGCAAGAGAAACAAGUCCAUGUGGCCAGACUUACAAAUGGCUAGUUUUUAACCUUUCCAAAAUGCAAAUAACCUGUUGGACCUAUUUCCAUUUUCCAGAUAUGGAGAGAGUCAGUCUGGCUGCUUGGAGCCUUGUCUCUUAUUGGUGCAGAAGUCACUUAAAGGUACCUUUAAAAACAGGCCUCAGUGGGUCUGGCUUAUUUAGAAUCACAUAACUGUGUUUAUAACUCCAUUAAUGAUUGAAUCCAGGCAUCAACUGGGCUCAGUUACACAACCGUAUGUGCCUGAGAGGUUCAUGUUGUGUCAUUUCUGUAGACCCAUAAGUUACUGACACCUAGCUAGAGGCACUGAAUUUUAGUUUCAUGGUUCUUCUUUUCCCCUCCCAAGGGGUGGGCAAUCUACCAAACCCUCCCAGAUUAGUGCUUUGCUGAGAAGUAGUGAAUUCAAGAGAGUAUACGCGUAUCAAACUGAAAGCCAGUUCAGUAGCCUUCUUUGUUCCAAGACCCUUCAUCAACACAGUGAUAUAAACUUAGCCUUUGAGAAAUUUGUGGAGGUGACAACUUACUUGGAAAUGUGAAGAGAUGAGAAUGGCAGCAAGCUAACUCUGUCCCAUGGGGGCAUGCAGGUUCUGCCAACAAAAAGAUCAGGGAAGGAAAUCAAGCCUCAUUCAGCAGUUCAUCCUGUCAUCAGUGGAAUUUACUGGAUUCAUUUCCUCUCUAUCCCCAGCCCCUCCCCCAACCUCCCUGGUGAUAAACAUAACAGAGGACCUUUUUCUUCUCGUCUUCCCUUCUCUGGUAUGACAGUUCAUUUUAGUCAGAGCUUAAGCAAACUCUUGCAUAUUAUGUCUAUGAGAUACUUGUUUGUGUGUAUCUUCUUCACACUAUGAUCUUGAGAAGACUGAUUUGAUCUCAGCUUUUUAUAUGAGAGUGGAGUAGCCAUUAAUUUCUUCUACAUCGCAUAUGCUCAUAGAAUUUUCUAUUUUUUAAUCUUCUCUUAAAUUAAGAAUCUCUAUCUCCUUUUCUGAAAACUGAUUCAUAGGCUUCUCUGGGCUAUAUAUUUUUUUAAUGCUUUGUGUGCCAUUUAAUAGCACUGGGAUGGCAAUAUGCACAUGAGCCCACAAUUCCCCACAGCAGUUUGGGACUCUUUUCCAUGGGAUAAACAACCUUCUGCCACCCUUAGGCUGUCUUGUAGGUUGAGCAUUUCCCUCAAUUCUACCUUUGGAGACAUCAAGGGGUUCUCUUGUCUUUCACACAGUGAGAAUGUCUUCAAAGAGAAUGACUACUUCUCCCCCAUGUAGAGUGUGAGCUGCCAGUGUGUUGCCCUAUACUUAACAUGUCAAGUCAGAAAUAAAAUGGUUUCAGGCAUGUGUUCCCAGUGGUUUGUCAUCAUCUUUGGCCAAGUCGUGCAUACUUUCCUUCCUUAUUCUCUUCUAGGGCUUGCUUCCAUCCUUGUCUCAUGAAACAAAUAUAUUUUUGUUUAUUCAUCUUGGUCAGCUUUCCAAAAUGAGUGGCUAGUCCCAUAGACCCCUGGGUAUAAGGGAUAUUACUCCAAACCUCCCCAUGACAUGGAUGAUAGGUGAGAUCAGGAAUGCUCAGCUCUUUGGGAACUCUCUGGAUGGAUUUUGAAUUCCAGGUUUCUGUGAGAUGUGUAAAAACAGGUAUAUAGCAUACAAAGAUUGUGCUACUCUCCCCAGUAAGAGAUUAUGGGCUUCAAAAACUUUACAUUUUAGAUAGGUUUGAGUGAACUAUGAAUAGCUCUUUUUUUCCCCCUUCUUGGCAACUUGUCCCUGGCUAGAAUCUUAUUUCUUCACAUCUGAGCACCAAGGCAUAAAGAAAGUGGUGUCAACCCACUGUGGCUGCACACUUCAUAAUCUUCUAAAGAUGACCAUUUCCCUUGGAAACAAAUCCAUGGGGGAGGGGAAGUCUAGUGACCAUUCUUGGGUAAAACGCAUAGGAUGAGGGGGGGUCCACCAAGGGAUAGGUCUCUUCCAAAUAGUAAUUUUACAUUUUUUCACUUUCAUAAGACACAAAUAAUAUGACCCUACUGUUAGAAGGAUAUAUACAUCUUUGAAGAAUAUAAGCAAAAAAAGGACUUCCCUUUAUAGAAACAAUCGAUAUUGCCAAAAAGGCAGAAGCUUUUAAAAUUAGAAAUUGGAUAAUUUUUAAGAUUCUUUAGAGAAAACACAUAAUUGAUUCAUCGUAGUCUUUUCCUUUCUUUGAGUUUUAAUUUAGACCAUCAUGGGAAGAGGAGCAGCCCUGGACUUUGAUUUAGGGGAUUGUGCUUUGGCCUGGAAAAUCAUUACUGGCCUGAAUGCCCAGAACCUAAGUGAAAUCAGUCAGCAUCCUAAUAGGAAUCAGGCCUAACAGAAAUGUAAAUUAUUUCAGGUCCUUUAGGGUUUAAUUUUCUUAGCAACACCCUGGGUCCUUGCUUCCUAAAAUUAAUUCGACCCGUGCAGUUAGGUGUCUUCAUUUGGCCUUGUGAGAUUGCAAGUAAUGGCGUGAUGGAGAAAAAACAGGAGAUGGGGGAGAAGGAAAAUUUGAACACGGCCAGGGUGCAAGAUUUUGCUAAUGGAGUGCAUUUUUAGGGAGUUGGUGACCAUUCCUGUGGUUGCAUCAUGGGCAGCCUUUCAGCAGAAGCUGAAGGCACAUGUGUUAGAGCAAGGAGGAUGCCCAGUAUCUCGUACUGGUCUGUAGCUGACACUAUGCUGGAAAAGCAGGUGCUGCAGUCAACCUGGCCUGUGUUUGCUGCAAUGACUCCAUUAAACUGCAGAUUCAUUUCCAUGGGGUCAGUUAUCCCUGGAACUUCCUGUUAAAAGUCUCAUUGGCAUAUAACUUCAUUUCACUUGUCUCCUUUCAGUGCUUCUGCAUCAACCUCCCCUUCUUUUAUACCCCACAGCUAUUUUUCCUCACUUCGGCUUUAGCUUCUCCCGGACCCAUCUUUCCCUACCCCUUCCCAUCCCUAGACACCUGAAUGUCCCCUGAGUUCUCUUGCUCUCACUACACACACACACGCACGCAUGCUGUGCCCCACUCCCCAGCCCUUUGGACAGGAGCUCUGCUGUCACCAAGGGAGACACAGCAUUGCGACUGUUCCUGUUAAUGUCAGCAGCACCUCAUCACUUAGGCAAAGAGGAAAAUCCAUAAAAGAGAUGGAAAAUUACAUUUCUCUCUUUUUUUUUAAAUUUUGUGCUACUUUAAGAAGGUUGAGGAGAGGGGGUGGCUCCAGUCCUUCUCAAUUUCUCAGAGAUUUUUUUACUUUAAAACUGUCCAAUUAUGGACCAUUCUUUUGGUAAAUUGUUAAUCAGUCCAGGUCUGGUAAAUUUUUAAUCAGUCCAGGUCAUCCACUAAGAUGCAUCAGACCCAAGUUUUGAAUCUCAAGUAACUUUUCUGUGCUCCUGGACAAAGUGACUUAACUCUGUGCAAACACUUUGAAUCAUUGGCUUUUUAUUGCCCCUCAAUUCUUAAGACUAGUCAUUGUUCAAACAUCUUCACAAAUCUGGAUCAGGAUGUUGACAAUCUAUGGUUAUUUUCAGAUCAAGAGUAACUAUUACACUCUUGAAAGCACUUAAAAAGAAAAUAGAAGCAUGUCCAUUUGACUUUGAAAAAAGUUUGCUUUUCUGAAUAUUAUACCAAUCUGUAGAUGUAAUUUUAAAGGAUUUAAGCAACAAUGAAGACAGUUUGAGAAAUGAGAAGGCACUUUAAAGACAUGAAACCUUACAUUAUAUGCUCUUGGAUAUUUUUUAAUGUAAUAAGCUAAUUGGAUUCAGGUAUUUUUUUUCCCUUUAAAUUUUUAAAAAUAUUUCUAAUUUGUUUGCAUAUUUAAUUUUGUCAAAGCUGAGAAUUGCUUGUUAGUCGAAUAUGUAAAUGUCAUUCGCAAACCAAAUGAAGUAUUUAUUUUUAAAAAGAAAGGGUGAAGGAACCAAUAUUGAUUUGUACAUAAUGAAAAUAUGUGUGUGUGUGUAUAUAUUUUCUUCCUUGACACUACUUUGUCCCCACAUCAAGUGUAUUUUUGUAUAUAAUAUAUAUUGGUUAGAAAGUGUAGAUUGUCUAUUCAAAGAAUUCUAUCUCUAUGAUAGAUUGUAUUUAUCCUAAUCUGUUGAUACUUCUGUUAACUUAAGAGAUAGAACUCUAUUUUUUUGGAAUUUGCAGAGAACUGCAUUCAUAGCUUCCAGUUGUAAAUAUGCUAAGGGUAUUUUAAUAAAUCUUGGUUUCAUG
Molecule: long non-coding RNA, 6330 nt
Filed under: Sus scrofa (pig)
Lineage: Eukaryota; Metazoa; Chordata; Mammalia; Artiodactyla; Suidae
Description: lncRNA (ENSSSCG00000056845.1)
Source: RNAcentral